UCAUAUGAGAGAUAUCAGGUAUGUCUUUAUCAAUCUUGGUUUGCGUAUGUUCUUUUGUUAUUAUUAGCUGUACGAAUACACACACUGAGGCAUGUUUUUUUUGUUUAUCACCUAGAGCCUUUCUAGCCAUCCCAUUAUUAUUAUUAUCCAUUGUUUUACCCUGUUGAGCCUGUUAAUCAUUUAUUUUUGAUAUACCCGUUUUUUU
This 205-nucleotide long non-coding RNA is filed under the name Lathyrus oleraceus (garden pea). RNAcentral's name for it is "Pisum sativum (pea) long non-coding RNA (PSAT_LNC007116)". The record is from RNAcentral. Lineage: Eukaryota; Viridiplantae; Streptophyta; Magnoliopsida; Fabales; Fabaceae.